GACGAACGCUGGCGGCGUGCUUAACACAUGCAAGUCGAACGGAAAGGCCCUGCUUUUGUGGGGUGCUCGAGUGGCGAACGGGUGAGUAACACGUGAGUAACCUGCCCUUGACUUUGGGAUAACUUCAGGAAACUGGGGCUAAUACCGGAUAGGAGCUCCUGCUGCAUGGUGGGGGUUGGAAAGUUUCGGCGGUUGGGGAUGGACUCGCGGCUUAUCAGCUUGUUGGUGGGGUAGUGGCUUACCAAGGCUUUGACGGGUAGCCGGCCUGAGAGGGUGACCGGGCACAAUGGGACUGCGAGACGGCCCAGACGCCAACGGGAGGCAGCAGUGGGGAAUAUUGCACAAUGGGCGGAAGCCUGAUGCAGCAACGCCGCGUGCGGGAUGACGGCCUUCGGGUUGUAAACCGCUUUCGCCUGUGACGAAGCGUGAGUGACGGUAAUGGGUAAAGAAGCACCGGCUAACUACGUG
Molecule: ribosomal RNA, 468 nt
Filed under: uncultured bacterium
Lineage: Bacteria
Description: partial 16S ribosomal RNA
Rfam family: Bacterial small subunit ribosomal RNA
Source: RNAcentral